Molecule: unclassified non-coding RNA, 389 nt
Filed under: Carex phleoides
Lineage: Eukaryota; Viridiplantae; Streptophyta; Magnoliopsida; Poales; Cyperaceae
Description: partial 3' external transcribed spacer
Source: RNAcentral
CCCUCCCCACAAGCGCACCGCGCAUCGCGCCAUCCGGCUGGGGGGCUGGUGGGGGGAGCAGUCACUGCGGGACCGCCCCCGCUCACGCAAUACGGUGCACGGUAUAUUCACAGGACAGCACGUGUGUAUGCACCGGUGUGACCGCUCGCCCUCGAUGCACUUGGAUUUCAAGCACGAAUGUAUGCAUGUGCGCAAGUCUAACAAGUUCACAGAUAGCGCUCGUAUGCACGUACAUGUAUGYAUGUAUGUGUCCCUGUAUCGAUGGUUGACCGCUUGCGCUGUGCACUUGGAUUUCAAGCCAAGUAUGCAUAUGCAYGGACAAACAAGUCCGUGAAUACAUAUAUAAUUCGUGCAUCCUUGUGACCCUAGGCUACUAAAUAUAAAUAUGC